RNAcentral lists this transfer RNA (74 nucleotides) under Marmota monax (woodchuck). RNAcentral's name for it is "tRNA.Thr". The stretch from base 7 to 63 matches the Rfam family "tRNA", at positions 9 to 63 of the family's 71-position model. From Rfam's summary of the family: Transfer RNA (tRNA) molecules are approximately 80 nucleotides in length. Lineage: Eukaryota; Metazoa; Chordata; Mammalia; Rodentia; Sciuridae. The record is from RNAcentral.
GGAUGCAGCUCAGUUGAUAGAGUGCUUGCCUAGUAUGCAGAAGGCCCUGGGUUCAAUCCCCAGAAAAACAUACA